GUUUCCUCCGUAGCUUCCAACGUCACCUCCUCCUUAGCCACCUCCCUCACGGCCACCACUACCGUAUCCUUUUCCACCACAACCUCUGCUAUGUCUCUCGUAAUCACCACCGCCUCCUCCAUUUCCGCCACCACCUCCUCCGUAUUCAUUACCGCCUCCGCUGCGGUAUCUGCCACCACCUCCACCACGGGUUCCUCCACCGCCUUGAGCAAAUGGGUGGCUGUGUCUUUCAGUUUGCAGAGACCUCCAUCUCCAAGACCUUAUGGACAUGGCACUUUGGUUUCUUUCCAAACCACGGUUAAUCGAAUCUCCUGUUAUUAUGAACAUGGUAUAUAGAAUGGAUAUGAAUCAAUAAAAGGUUUCUGAAUGGAUAUAUAUAAAUAGACUCGUUAUUAUGGACAUCAAAAAAUUGUUUGUUGAUUUUUCUUUCAGUUUGCAGAGACCUCCAUCUCCAAGACCUUAUGGACAUGGCACUUUGGUUUCUUUCCAAACCACGGUUAAUCGAAUCUCCUGUUAUUAUGAACAUGGUAUAUAGAAUGGAUAUGAAUCAAUAAAAGGUUUCUGAAUGGAUAUAUAUAAAUAGACUCGUUAUUAUGGACAUCAAAAAAUUGUUUGUUGAUUUUUCUUUCAGUUUGUAGAGACCUCCACUUCCAAGACCUUAUGGACAUGGAACUUUGGUUUCUUUACAAACCACGAUUAAUCGAAUCUCUUGUUAUUAUGGACAUGGUAUAUAGAAUGGAUAUAGAUUGGUAAAAAGGUUUCCGAAUGGAUAUAUUU
RNAcentral lists this long non-coding RNA (777 nucleotides) under Arabidopsis thaliana (thale cress). RNAcentral describes it as "ncRNA (AT2G10921)". The record is from RNAcentral. Lineage: Eukaryota; Viridiplantae; Streptophyta; Magnoliopsida; Brassicales; Brassicaceae.